Long non-coding RNA from Pipra filicauda (Wire-tailed manakin), 318 nucleotides. RefSeq lists it as uncharacterized. The record is from RefSeq and is a predicted model, not a curated record. NCBI's taxonomy places the organism in Eukaryota, Metazoa, Chordata, Aves, Passeriformes, Pipridae. The transcript is spliced from 4 exons.
UUGAUCCAGAAGCUUUUGAAGACUCAGCUGUACUUUAUUGACCAGAUCCAGCUACAAAAAUGGUUAAAACUCCUCUAAAAAAGCCUUGCUGGACUGAAAACUCAGGGAGAAGGAAACUCAGAGGCAACUUAGUUUUGGAGAAAGGAUGCUCUGCACCUAAAAUGGGGAGGCAAAAGCUUUUGCACAGAUUUCCUGGCAGUUACUUGUCUGAGUGAAAGAGAAGAGCUACAUGGAAAAGAGAAAGCAAAUGACAUUUUUAACUGUGUGAAGAUUUCUUCUUUCCCCCAAGCAUCCUGAAAUAAAAGACAUCAAUGCAGA